GAACACAAAAUGGCGACACGUGGUUAGCAUUCGUCGCCAACGAGAAAUUGGGGUCGGCCCGAAAGCUCUAGAAUGCACCCCCCUUCUUCCCCGGGGCCUUCCACCUCCGCGAGUUUUAUGACUUAAAAAACCCCACAGGCUGGUCUGAAGAGGAAGACAAACAUAAAGAUGAAGUGCUUAAUUCAAGGUCACACAAUGUCGGGGAUGGACCUCCAGAUUUCCUUACUGGAAAACAAGCUCAGGGCUCCCACUGAUUGUACAUUAUGAGACGGAGUCUUGCUAUGUUGCCCAGGCUGGUCUUGAACUCCUCACCUCAAGCGAUCCUCUCGUCUUGGCCUCCCAAGUGUCAGGAUUACAGGCAUGUGCUAUCACACCCAACCUGAUACAUUGCCUUUAUAAAUUUUUUUUUCUUUAUUCUAAAAACCAGAAAAAACAAAACUGGAUACAUGUGCAGAACAUGCAGGUGAGACGUGGUCUUGUAACACAGUGGUUAAGAAUGUGACUUUGGAGCCAGCCUGCUAGGGGCUGAAUUCUGACUCAGCCAUUUACUAACUG
Molecule: non-coding RNA, 555 nt
Filed under: Pan troglodytes (chimpanzee)
Lineage: Eukaryota; Metazoa; Chordata; Mammalia; Primates; Hominidae
Source: RNAcentral